Molecule: non-coding RNA, 90 nt
Filed under: Gammaproteobacteria bacterium
Lineage: Bacteria; Pseudomonadati; Pseudomonadota; Gammaproteobacteria
Description: c-di-GMP sequence
Rfam family: c-di-GMP-I riboswitch aptamer
About the family: GEMM was predicted in a large-scale screen for bacterial structured RNA regulatory elements. Genes associated with GEMM are involved in a diverse array of functions, including chemotaxis regulation, signal transduction, secretion and chitin.
Source: RNAcentral
CGACGACAAAGGCAAACUCGUCGCGAGGCGGGUGCGCAAAACCGCAGAUCUCAGCGUUUUGGGGAAUGUUGAGACGGCUGGGUUACCGAA